GACGAACGCUGGCGGCGUGCCUAAUACAUGCAAGUGGGACGCAAGAGAACACACUGUGCUUGCACACCGUGUUUUCUUGAGUCGCGAACGGGUGAGUAACGCGUAGGUAACCUGCCUAUUAGCGGGGGAUAACUAUUGGAAACGAUAGCUAAUACCGCAUAAUAUUAAUUAUUGCAUGAUAAUUGAUUGAAAGAUGCAAGCGCAUCACUAGUAGAUGGACCUGCGUUGUAUUAGCUAGUUGGUAAGGUAAGAGCUUACCAAGGCGACGAUACAUAGCCGACCUGAGAGGGUGAUCGGCCACACUGGGACUGAGACACGGCCCAGACUCCUACGGGAGGCAGCAGUAGGGAAUCUUCGGCAAUGGACGAAAGUCUGACCGAGCAACGCCGCGUGAGUGAAGAAGGUUUUCGGAUCGUAAAGCUCUGUUGUAAGUCAAGAACGUGUGUGAGAGUGGAAAGUUCACACAGG
RNAcentral lists this ribosomal RNA (468 nucleotides) under Streptococcus mutans. Its description in RNAcentral is "bacterial SSU rRNA". It matches the Rfam family "Bacterial small subunit ribosomal RNA", at positions 28 to 472 of the family's 1533-position model. The record is from RNAcentral. Lineage: Bacteria; Bacillati; Bacillota; Bacilli; Lactobacillales; Streptococcaceae.